AGUAGUUGAUCAGUGGCUCGAGGACGAACGCUGGCGGCGUGCCUAACACAUGCAAGUCGAACGGAGGUUUGUUCGGCAGAACCUUAGUGGCGAACGGGUGAGUAACGCGUAGGCAACCUGCCCCCCGGCCGGGGACAACACGCCGAAAGGUGUGCUAAUACCGGAUACGAAGGCGGCAUCGCAUGGUGCUGUUUUGAAAGAUGGCCUCUAUGUAUAAGCUAUCGCCGGGGGAUGGGCCUGCGUCCGAUUAGCUGGUUGGUGGGUAACGGCCCACCAAGGCGACGAUCGGUAGCCGGUCUGAGAGGAUGAACGGCCACAUUGGGACUGAGACACGGCCCAGACUCCUACGGGAGGCAGCAGUGGGGAAUCUUCCGCAAUGGGCGCAAGCCUGACGGAGCAACGCCGCCGUGAGUGAGGAAGUUUUUCGGAACGUAAAGCUCUGUUGUACCCGACGAACGUGCCCUCUAUGAACAACGGAGGGUAAUGACGGUAGGGUACGAGGAAGCCACGGCUAACUACGUGCCAGCCGCUGC
RNAcentral lists this ribosomal RNA (533 nucleotides) under uncultured bacterium. Its description in RNAcentral is "bacterial SSU rRNA". It matches the Rfam family "Bacterial small subunit ribosomal RNA", at positions 1 to 518 of the family's 1533-position model. The record is from RNAcentral.